This is a long non-coding RNA of Triticum dicoccoides, 1399 nucleotides long. RefSeq lists it as uncharacterized. The record is from RefSeq and is a predicted model, not a curated record. Lineage: Eukaryota; Viridiplantae; Streptophyta; Magnoliopsida; Poales; Poaceae. The transcript has 3 exons.
CUCCCCGCCCCCAUCCGAGCUCCGCCCAGUGCCCAUCUUCGCACCGUUCCUACCGCAGCAUGCGCAUCCCACUUCUCCGCCCCCAGAUCUGUGGCAAGCUCCAUCAAAUCAACUUCGAUCUAUGCCAUCCGACUGCUCCGCCCUUCUGCAUGGCCUCCCCUGGAUGGCUUGUCACCCAUCGCCUGCUCCAACUCCAGUGUCGUCCCUCUCCGCGGGUGACGUCUCCUCCAAACCGCAAGUCUGCAAGUCGACCAUGCAUCUUGGAGGCUGUGGCGCUGCUGGUGCUGCUGCUCCUGUGAUGGGCCUAGUGGAGCCUACAGUUCCUUGAUUUCAAGGAGGAAAGGGAAACAUGAUUGGUUCUUGGAGAGAAAGUAGCCUCCAUGCUUCUUAAAUUUGGCUACUGGUUUGUACAGAGGCUUUCAUCUAUGGAGAAGCACAUUGAUGGAGAAAGAAAACAUACUCAAAGGCAAUCUUUUUCAGGUACAUACUCUAUUGAUUGAAUAAUACGGGCAAGGUUGUUGCAAAGAUUUUUCCAUACGUAUGGUUCACAUUCCAUGGUUUAAUUUGCAGAUUGAUAUUUCAUUCAUUUUGAUUUCUACACAUAUUCACAUUUCCAUAUAUUGACAUGACUAGAUGAUUGAGAUGACCGCGUCAUCAACUGCCCAAUAGCUGAAAUGGAACUUCUAGGCACCUCUUUCAAAUCUCAUCGCACCUAUUUCAGUUCUCAUUUCCUAGUUGCAGCUAAUCUAGAUCAGGAUUAAGGUUUAAGGUUCAUGAUCCAUCUAUAAGAGAGGUGUAAUACCCUCUGCUCUUAUCAGUUUAUACUAUUAUUUCCACACCUGUGUCCAAAUAUAUCCAGUGAUUAAUUUUGAUACAAGUUUUUGAUAUUACGAGAUCAUGCUAUCUCCAGUAUGCUCAAGAACAUCUUGAUACUUACCUAGACAUUUUUAUUUCAACGUAUUGAACAUUAAAAGCCUUUUACCAAUAGCAAUGCACAAGAAAUGUAGGUUCGGUUAUAAUAAUUAACAAGAUAAAGAUAUGUCAAGGGGCUUCUGUCAUGGGCCAUACUGUAUAUCAUCUUAAUUCAAUUAAACUUUUUACUACUAGCUUGCUUCUUGGAACUUCCCAUUUUCUUAUUAUAUGUUCGAGCGUAUGGUACUGGUGACAAGCCUUCCCUGACCCUCACUAGUUAUCUUUAUGUGACUUAUAAUUGUAAGCAGUACACACCAGUCUAAAGUGCAGCACAAAUCCAUAUAAACGACUUUGAAAUACUGAAAUUUAGAGAUUUAAUUCCCUGUUAUGUUGAGUUGUUUGCAAAUUAGGUUGAGCUGUAUCCUGAUUCUCCAUGUUCUUUGUUGAUUGUUCAGCCAGAUGUAGAAAAAUAAAAUUUGUACUUGUA